CCUACGGGAGGCUGCAGUGGGGAAUAUUGGACAAUGGGGGCAACCCUGAUCCAGCCAUGCCGCGUGUGUGAAGAAGGCCCUCGGGUUGUAAAGCACUUUCAGUGAGGAAGAACGCCUGGUGGUUAAUACCCAUCAGGAAAGACAUCACUCACAGAAGAAGCACCGGCUAACUCCGUGCCAACAGCCGCGGUAAUACGGAGGGUGCGAGCGUUAAUCGGAAUUACUGGGCGUAAAGCGCGCGUAGGUGGCUUGAUAAGCCGGUUGUGAAAGCCCCGGGCUCAACCUGGGAACGGCAUCCGGAACUGUCAAGCUAGAGUGCAGGAGAGGAAGGUAGAAUUCCCGGUGUAGCGGUGAAAUGCGUAGAGAUCGGGAGGAAUACCAGUGGCGAAGGCGGCCUUCUGGACUGACACUGACACUGAGGUGCGAAAGCGUGGGUAGCAAACAGGAUUAGAUACCCUGGUAGUC
RNAcentral lists this ribosomal RNA (465 nucleotides) under Vreelandella stevensii. RNAcentral describes it as "partial 16S ribosomal RNA". It matches the Rfam family "Bacterial small subunit ribosomal RNA", at positions 338 to 795 of the family's 1533-position model. Lineage: Bacteria; Pseudomonadati; Pseudomonadota; Gammaproteobacteria; Oceanospirillales; Halomonadaceae. The record is from RNAcentral.